CAGUAGAUGGUAGACCAGGGUAAUAUAAUGACAGAUGGUAGACCAGGGUAAUAUAAUGACAGUAGAUGGUAGACCAGGGUAAUAUAAUGACAGUAGAGGGUAGACCAGGGUAAUAUAAUGACAAUAGAUGGUAGACCAGGGUAAUAUAAUGACAGUAGAUGGUAGACCAGGUUAAUAUAAUGACAGUAGAUGGUAGACCAGGGUAAUAGAAUGACAGUAGAUGGUAGACCAGGGUAAUAUAAUGACAGUAGAUGGUAGACCAGGGUAAUAUAAUGACAGUAGAUGGUAGACCAGGGUAAUAUAAUGUCAGUAGAGGGUAGACCAGUGUAAUCUAGUGACAGUAGAUGGUAGACCAGGGUAAUAUAAUGGCAGUAGAGUUUAGACCAGGGUAAUAUAGUGACAGUAGAUGGUAGACCAGGGUAAUAUAAUGACAGUAGAUGGUAGACCAGGGUAAUAUUAUGACAGUAGAUGGUAGACCAGGUAAUAUAAUGACAGUAAAUGGUAGACCAGGGUAAUAUAAUCACAGUAGAUGGUAGACCAGAGUAAUAUAAUGACAGUAGAUGGUAGACCAGGGUAAUAUAAUGACAGUAGAUGGUAGACCAUAGUAAUAUAGUGACAGUAUAUGGUA
This is a long non-coding RNA of Oncorhynchus tshawytscha (Chinook salmon), 628 nucleotides long. The record is from Ensembl. NCBI's taxonomy places the organism in Eukaryota, Metazoa, Chordata, Actinopteri, Salmoniformes, Salmonidae.